This 31-nucleotide non-coding RNA is filed under the name Mus musculus (house mouse). Lineage: Eukaryota; Metazoa; Chordata; Mammalia; Rodentia; Muridae. The record is from RNAcentral.
UGCCUGGUACCAUUAGCACUUCAGGAAUGCC